This 396-nucleotide ribosomal RNA is filed under the name uncultured bacterium. RNAcentral describes it as "partial 16S ribosomal RNA". It matches the Rfam family "Bacterial small subunit ribosomal RNA", at positions 523 to 918 of the family's 1533-position model. The record is from RNAcentral.
AUACGUAGGUGGCGAGCGUUGUCCGGAUUUACUGGGUGUAAAGGGCGAGUAGGCGGGCUUGCAAGUCAGAUGUGAAAUACCGAGGCUCAACUUCGGGGCUGCAUUUGAAACUGCGAGUCUUGAGUGAUGGAGAGGCAGGCGGAAUUCCCAGUGGAGCGGGAAAAUGCAUAGAUAUUGGGAAGAAAGCCAGUGGCGAAGGCGUACUGCUGGACAUUAACUGACGCUGAGGAGCGAAAGUGUGGGGAGCAAACAGGAUUAGAUACCCUGGUAGUCCACACCGUAAACGAUGGAUACUAGGUGUGCGGGGACUGACCCCCUGCGCGCCGCAGUUAACACAAUAAGUAUCCCACCUGGGGAGUACGAUCGCAAGAUUGAAACUCAAAUGAAUUGACGGGG